GACGAAGGGGGCUAGCGUUGUUCGGAAUUACUGGGCGUAAAGCGCGUGUAGGCGGUUGUUCAAGUCGGGUGUGAAAGCCUUGAGCUCAACUCAAGAAAUGCACUCGAUACUGGAUGACUUGAGGACCGGAGAGGAUAGUGGAAUUCCCAGUGUAGUGGUGAAAUACGUAGAGGAAUUGGAAGAACACCAGUGGCGAAGGCGGCUACCUGGACCGGUUCUGACGCUGAGGCGCGGAAAGCGUGGGUAGCAAACGAGGAAUUG
Molecule: ribosomal RNA, 261 nt
Filed under: uncultured bacterium
Lineage: Bacteria
Description: partial 16S ribosomal RNA
Rfam family: Bacterial small subunit ribosomal RNA
Source: RNAcentral